UACGUAGGUGGCAAGCGUUGUCCGGAUUUACUGGGCGUAAAGGGCGUGCAGGCGGUCUGUUAAGUGCAGGGUGAAAGCUCCCGGCUCAACUGGGAGAGGUCCUUGCAUACUGGCGGACUUGAGGGGGGUAGAGGAAAGUGGAAUUCCCGGUGUAGUGGUGAUAUGCGUAGAUAUCGGGAGGAACACCAGUGGCGAAGGCGACUUCCUGGCCUGUUCUUGACGCUGAGGCGCGAAAGCUAGGGGAGCAAACGGG
This 253-nucleotide ribosomal RNA is filed under the name uncultured bacterium. RNAcentral's name for it is "partial 16S ribosomal RNA". It matches the Rfam family "Bacterial small subunit ribosomal RNA", at positions 524 to 776 of the family's 1533-position model. The record is from RNAcentral.